This 500-nucleotide ribosomal RNA is filed under the name uncultured bacterium. RNAcentral's name for it is "partial 16S ribosomal RNA". It matches the Rfam family "Bacterial small subunit ribosomal RNA", at positions 30 to 523 of the family's 1533-position model. The record is from RNAcentral.
AUUGAACGCUGGCGGCAGGCCUAACACAUGCAAGUCGAGCGGUAGAGAGAAGCUUGCUUCUCUUGAGAGCGGCGGACGGGUGAGUAAAGCCUAGGAAUCUGCCUGGUAGUGGGGGAUAACGUUCGGAAACGGACGCUAAUACCGCAUACGUCCUACGGAAGAAAGCAGGGGACCUUCGGGCCUUGCGCUAUCAGAUGAGCCUAGGUCGGAUUAGCUAGUUGGUGAGGUAAUGGCUCACCAAGGCGACGAUCCGUAACUGGUCUGAGAGGAUGAUCAGUCACACUGGAACUGAGACACGGUCCAGACUCCUACGGGAGGUAGCAGUGGGGAAUAUUGGACAAUGGGCGAAAGCCUGAUCCAGCCAUGCCGCGUGUGUGAAGAAGGUCUUCGGAUUGUAAAGCACUUUAAGUUGGGAGGAAGGGCAUUAACCUAAUACGUUAGUGUUUUGACGUUACCGACAGAAUAAGCACCGGCUAACUCUGUGCCAGCCGCCGCCGUAA